AACCCCAAACCAGAUCUCAUAUGCUCAUCGCUACCCUCAUUCCACCGCCGUCGUCGCUGCCCUCCAUCCACCGCCAUCGUCAUCGCCCGACGGUGCCCUCGUUAAUCCUUUACUAUGUUUGAGUCUGUCCAAAUACCAGAAGCCGUCAUUCAGUAGGCAACAAUUGCUCUGCGAGCAAUCGAGUCGUGGCUCUUGCCGAUUCAUUUAGCCCGAGGAUGAAACCGGUAAUAAAAAACUCAUUGGAGUAAAGUUGUUAAUUCAUCCUAUCUUUGCAAAUUUUAGAUCGAAUUUUCAGAUUCGGUUCGGAUCUGUAUUCAUGAUUUUCGAUAAAAAUGUGGUUUGUAGUUGAUUUUCGAUAUAUUGUAGAGUGUAGUUGAUUUUUUAUAUUAAUUUUCUCUGGAACCAUUUUAGGCAUCUCCAGCGGCGAUCUGAUGUGGUAGAGUGGUAAUUGACGGUUGACGCAAGGGAUUUGCGUCCUUUCUUCACCGGAGAGUGAUUGGCAUGUAGAAGUUGGGGAGUGGUUGAAACGGUGGCGAUGGAACAAAUCACCCUCACAGCCAUCGGAUUCAACACAUGAUUAGUGGAGAUAUAGCCUUUUCUCGAUGAAUAUGCGAUUGUAAUGUCCAACAUGUGGAUUGGACUAUAGUUAAUUAUAAUUUCUCUUAAAUUGAGAUUUUUUAUUUU
This 684-nucleotide long non-coding RNA is filed under the name Erythranthe guttata (spotted monkey flower). RNAcentral describes it as "long non-coding RNA (EGUT_LNC002686)". The record is from RNAcentral. Lineage: Eukaryota; Viridiplantae; Streptophyta; Magnoliopsida; Lamiales; Phrymaceae.